GCCAAGGGGAUUCAAGCACAGCUUAAAACCCAAAGGACUUGACGGUGCCCCAUAUCCCCCUAGAGGAGCCUGUCCUAUAACCGAUAAUCCCCGUUUAACCUCACCACAACUAGCUUAUCAGCCUGUAUACUUCCGUCGUCAGCCUACCACAUGAGCGAAACUCAGUUAGCCCAAUGUCCGCACAUCAAAGUGUUUAUAUCGACAAUACGUCAGGUCAAAGUGCAGCAAAUGCUGUGGGAAGAGAUUGGCUACACUUUUUAAUGUAAAAGAAACGAAAAACAAAAUGAAACUUUGUCAGAAGGUGGAUUUAGCAGUAAAAGAAAAAUAUUAAAUUUCCUUUAACUCGGCACUGGGGUGUGU
This 360-nucleotide ribosomal RNA is filed under the name Eleutherodactylus greyi (Grey's robber frog). RNAcentral describes it as "partial 12S ribosomal RNA". Lineage: Eukaryota; Metazoa; Chordata; Amphibia; Anura; Eleutherodactylidae. The record is from RNAcentral.